GUUGCCAAGCCGCGAGGUGGAGCUAAUCCCAUAAAACCGAUCGUAGUCCGGAUCGCAGUCUGCAACUCGACUGCG
This 75-nucleotide transfer RNA is filed under the name uncultured Pseudomonas sp. RNAcentral describes it as "transfer RNA-Ala". It matches the Rfam family "Bacterial small subunit ribosomal RNA", at positions 1246 to 1320 of the family's 1533-position model. Lineage: Bacteria; Pseudomonadati; Pseudomonadota; Gammaproteobacteria; Pseudomonadales; Pseudomonadaceae. The record is from RNAcentral.